AUGAGAGGUGUGGAGGAGCUCCUCUACAAGAAAAAGAUGUUUCAGCUCUUAUAUAAGGGGGAAACAGGGAUCUGCACAAACUAUGGCGCUGGUGAGGAGGAAGGAGAUCAAGGAGGAGCGUGACAGAGGUCUGUAAGAUGGUGCUUUGGUUGGCUGGAGAGAGAAGGUUGGCCCUUGCCUUUUCCACUGGAGAAGGAAAGUCCUGUGUUAGUUCCCAUCCCAACUAAAGACCAGGAACAUUGCCACCUCCUUCUGUGGGGCUUCAAGGACGACUACAACAACAGCCAGAGAAGCAAAGGGGUGUUUCAGGCAAUUCCAGCCCUCACGCGCUCCUCAUGGGACAGCGAACUGUCGCCCCUCUCCUUCCUGGCAGCGCCGGGGUGCAGCCCGGGAGCUUGGUCCCCGCAGCGGAGGAGCAGGGGUUGCAGACAGUGCGGAGUGAUACACAUGCCUGCCCCACUGGUUGGCCGUGGAGACGCUGCCCCGGCUCGGGGGGAUGCUACCAACAGCACCUAUGGGCAGGGAGGCAGAGGAUUCCAUAGGAAGGCAGGUGCGUGUGUAGAAAGGCGGAUGAGUGUAUACGAAGGCAGGUGAAUGUAUAGGAAUGUGGAUGGGCUUAUAGGAAAGCAGGUGAACAUGUAGGAAAGCAGAUGAAUGUGUAGGAAGGCAGGUGGGCAUAUAGGAAGGUAGGUGAGUGUAUAGGCAGAUGAGUGUAUAGCAACAUGGAUGGGCAUAUAGGAAGAUAGGUGGGCAUAUAGGAAGGCAGGUGAGUAUAUAGGAGGUCAGGUUAAUGUCUAAGAAGGCAGAUGAGCAUAUAGAAAGGCAGUUGAGCACUUGGAAAGGCAGGUGAGUGUGUGGGUGGGAGGAUAAACAUAUAGGAAGGCAGGUGAGCAUAUGGGAAGGCAGAUGAGUGUAUAGGAAGGCAGGUGAGCGUAUAGGAAUGCAAUUGAGCAUAUGGAAACACAGGUGAGUGUGUAGGUGGGCGGAUGAGCGUAUAGGAAGGCAGAUGAGUGUACAGGAGGGCAGGAGAGCAUAUAGGAAGGGUGUUGAGCAUAUGGGAAGGCAGGUGAGUGUGCAGGAAGGUGGAUGAGUGUGUAGGGAGGCCAGUGAGUGUAUAGGGAGGCCGGUGAGCAUACAGCCCCCGCCAGCCCCUGAGGGGUCAGCUGCCUGCAGCCCCCGAGCGGCAGCACCUCCUUCCAUCAGCGGUAGCCGGUGCUUGUGGGGGGUGGUGGCUCUGCAGGCCGGGGGCGAGGCCCAGCCCAGCAGAAACCUCUAACUCCCCGUGGCUCCGAGCCACCCAAACCUCGCCUCACCGAACGCGGCCGCGCCGGCAGAGUCGUGCCGGACCCGGCGUGCCGGGGCUGUGCCGAGAUGACUCAUCCCGCUGCAUGCAGCAGCACACUUCCAACUAGCAACAAAUGAAAAUAGAAAUGUCCCUGGCUCCUGAGCCAGGAAUAAUGUUGCAGGCUAUUUUUUUGGUGGUUUUUUUUUCCCUUUAAAGUGAAAUCCCUUUUUUUCUUUGACUCUCUAACUCAGCCCCAAUAAAGCCACCGGCAAAGUCUCCUCCCCGGCUUCUCCGCUGUGGCCCGCGGCACGUCGGCUGCCAGCGUUGGUGCCAGUGGGGGCGGAUGCAGGAGGAGAGAAGCAAAGCCCAGCGAGGCGGGUCUGGGGGGACGAUGCCACGUCCUGGUGGGGCAUGGCUGGGUGGUUUUCUGGGAUGCAGAACUUGGGAGCAAAAAGGGGAGAAGGAGGAGUGCUUGGGGGUGUAGCCCAGGCUGCUUUGGAGGUUUAUAUGGUGAGAGAAGGAGGGAAGAGAGGAUGGACGACUGCUGGGAUGGAGAGCUGGGAGAUGGGAACGGCCAGACCCUCCUGCCUCGGUGGUGGGACAGGGAUACUGGGUCUCCUCGCUCUGCCUGCUUUGGGAUGAGCAUCCGCUGGUGGCUGCCAUCAAAUGGCAAAGGGGGGGUGAUGGAAAGUGGGGAAGAGGGGGAGCUGGGUCCGUGCCGGUCCCCAUGGAGCUGCCGGGGGCUGGUGGUGGUUGCAGCCGUGGCAGAGGUACAGGGACACCCCGGGAAGAAGCACAACAGUGUUAUCUCAGUCACCGCACGUAACCGCCGCUCCCGUUCCACACUGCCCGACAGGCCUCCCUGGGGCCCUGCCAGCCUUUUUUGGGAGGUGAUAAACUGAGUCUCACUGCUCUAUCAGGCCAGCCCACACCUAGGAUCCAGCAGAAGGCGGCCGCUCUCCCCACCCCUGCCUGAACCCUGGCUGCAGGACGCUCGUCCCCCUGGCAGACCCCAUCCAAACUGCCCCAGGGAUGAAGCAGAGCACAGCACACUCAUUAAAAACAAUUAAAAUAGCAAUUAAGGACUAUUUACAUAGCUGCUCAUCCAUAACCUCUAGCUUCCGGGAAGCAAGACCAUGCUACAGGUGACUUUUCCCAGGGGAUCGGAGCUGGAUGACGUGUGGAAAUAAUUUGUGGAUUUUUUUUGGAGUUUCUCCAAAAAAUGAUCACACAAUUUUCUUCUGCCAUUUCUCCUCGGCCAACCCUGCGUGGGUGUAACCCCACCGCCCGCUCCACAUGGGGCCCCAGCAAUGGGGAUGUCCCAGAGGGGCACUCGGGGACCCUCGUGCCGGAUGCUGGGGGAUAAUCCAGGCCACCCACACUUGAUUUUAGAGUUAGGAAGGGAGCAGGCAGCUCUCCCGGGCUGCUGCCCGUGCCAGCCCACGCUCCUGCCUGCAGCUGGGGAAAACCUCCAUCGAGCUUGUACAAACUGGCCAGGCUCGAGGCAGCUCCAAAACAUCUCCGGGGCAUCCUAUGCCACAUCAAAGUGCUUUUCCGGCAGCGAUGGAGGUGCUUCUUCUUGGGGUUCAGGAUGGCUGGGGGGCUGCUGGGGCUGCCGUGCCCGGUGCAGCUUGCACACCCGGGCGUACACAGGGCUGGGGCUCCCCUCGCUGCCCGGCUCCUCCUGGAUGAUGACCUCCUGCACCGGGAUGCUCGGCUCAUCCCUGGUGGGCAGGGAUGGGGAGUCCCUCGGGGUGCUGCCGGCAUCCCAAGGCUUUUUCAGCAUCCCAGCUUUGUACCGGAUGCUUUCAUAGAUGGUCCCCUCAGCAUCCAGUGCAGUGUCCGCUGCAGGUGUGCCAGCAUCCCCGGGCAGAACCGGCAGCUGUCGGUGCCGCAGAAACUCAGGGGUCCUUGGAGACGGUCCGGAGAGUUCCUGGGAAUGGGGUGUCCAGCCCGGCACCUGCAGCCUGGGGUGUCCCGCACCGGCGUUAUCCGGGUCUCCCGGCACCACCAGGCUGUCUGCCUGCUGCUGGGGCUCACCAGGAGAGGGGAUGCCUGCAGGGAGGGAAAAGAGGGGGUGCUGAGCCGGCGAGGGUACCCCCAGCACCAUCGCCCUGGGGGUCAUCCCUGGCUAAUGCGAGGGUAAAGUAGCCCUGAGGAAAUGGGAUUAAACAGGUCCCGCUCCCACUUCUGUCCCCGCUCCCCACUUUUAGCAAGAAAGAUAAUAAAAAGCAAAUUAAAAACAGGGCGAGAAUCCCCAGGUUGGUGGCGGGGGAUGGCAGCGGGGCCAGCGCGGUGUCGGGACCUGCCGCCCGCCUUCCCGUGCGGCGGCUCAUGCCUUUGGUCAAAUAUUUAUUUAAGAAGGAGGCUCUGCUCUGUGAGCAGGAUCUGUCAGCACGGGGAGCUGGCAGAGCAGGACGCCCAGCCGGUUUGUUCGCUCCGAAAGCGAAGUAGGCUCUGGAAAAAGCUACGUAACCGGGUGUUUCUCCUCCUGUUUUAAAUAUGUGGGGGUAUGGUGGUCCUGUGGGAUUUGGGUGCAGGAGCCGGGGCGCUCCCUGCCCCAGCUGCGGUGCGGGGUGCGUACGUGCCUGCAGCACGGCGGUGGAGGCACGGGCUGGUGCAGGAGCUUGCAGGGUCGGAUCCAGGCCAGAGCCCCUCGGGGCCAGCACAGCCUCCUCACCGCCCUCCAACUCUGGCCUGGCAGAAAGCAGCCCCAUGAGCACCCCAACAUGAGCACCCCAAUGCAAGCAUCCCAGCAUGGACACCCCAACAUAAGCACCCCAAAGUGAGCAACCCCAACAUUAACAUCCCGAAGCAAGCAUCCCAACCUGAGCACCCCACCGUGAACACCUCAAUGCAAGCAUCCCAACAUGGACACCCCAACAUAAGCACCCCAAGGUGAGCACCCUCAGAACAAGCACCCCAGCACGAGCCCUCUGUUAGCAUCCUGUCAGCUCCCCAAUGUGAGCGCCCCAGCAUGAGCAUCCCAACCUGAGCACCCCACCAUAAGCACCCCAAUGCAAGCAUCCCAACAAGGGCACCCCAACAUGAGCACCCCACCCUGAGCAUCCCGAAGCAAGCACCCCAGCAUGAGCACCCCAAUGCAAGCACCCCAACAUGGGCACCCCGAUAUGAGCACCCCAGCCUCGGCACCCCACCACCAGCCCCAGUGUGGACACCCCGUGAGGCCCCGAUGCGAGCACCUCAGCGAGAGCACCGCGGCGCACCCCCGCAGCCCACCUGCUGCACCCCAAGGGGCCGAGGCUUCGCUUUCGGGGAGUCCCUGCCCCAUCCUUCUGCAGCAAAGCAGGAGAGGGUGAGGGGUGCCCCAGAAAUGGGGUACGGGGGGGGGGCAGGCUGGCAGAGCCACCCCAUAAAAUACUCAGGAGCUCCCCGUUGUGGUGCAAAGAGAAGCAGGAAUUUUGCUCGAGCACCUCGAAGCUCAGCCGCGGCGUGGCGGAAAGGGGAAAUUAAUACGUGGGGUUUAAUCGUCCUCGUUAUCUGGCGAUGCCGAAUAAAGCACUCCUGGUGUAAAUGGGAAGAGAAACUUGUUCCCGGCUGUGUGGAAAAGCAA
Phalacrocorax carbo (great cormorant) is the source of this 4859-nucleotide non-coding RNA. The record is from RefSeq and is a predicted model, not a curated record. Lineage: Eukaryota; Metazoa; Chordata; Aves; Suliformes; Phalacrocoracidae.